Molecule: long non-coding RNA, 2973 nt
Filed under: Capsella rubella
Lineage: Eukaryota; Viridiplantae; Streptophyta; Magnoliopsida; Brassicales; Brassicaceae
Description: long non-coding RNA (CRUB_LNC001383)
Source: RNAcentral
UGAUAUGUAGCUCCGAACUCUGCUCUCCAAGCCUGAUCAUCAUCGUAGUCAUCGAAACUUACACCUUCUGUUUCAUGCUCUGAUACUUGUUCUAUUUCAUUCUCCUCAUCCUUGUACCAUGGCUGCAACAAUGCUGACCCUGGUAAUUUACUCUCUGCUAAGUAUUGCUUCAUUAUCCCUAUUUCUGUCUUGUGUUUGCUCUUUAGCUGUUCCAUUUGCUUCUUCAGCCCCUCUUUCUCUUCUUCCACCACGUUGAAUCGUUCCUGCAAUGAUGGUUUCAGGAGUUCAAGUUGAGCCAUUUAGUAAUACCAAGUUUUUCAAACAAGAAGCAUAAGUAAAGUUCUUUUUUAUGGUCCAAUAUCAACUGGGCAAGAGUUUUGUCUAGUUACCUCAGAGACUUGUAAGGCUUGUUCAGAUUCCCUGAGUCUGACAAGUAGUUCACCAGCAGCUUGGACAGCUUCAGCUGUAUCCUGAACCUGAGUUCUUAGGCUCCUGUUCUCCUUCUUCAAGAUCUCUCUUUCUUUCUCCUUCUCAGCUCUGAUGGCUGAAAGCUCAGCUGAAAAGGCUUUGGCAAAACGCUUGCCAUGGCGACCAUUCAUAGCGGCCUUGGAUGCUGCCUUCUUUACAUCUGUUAUUCCAGCCAUCAUCACACUGUGCUUCUCCCCAAGUUCAUUGUACUUCUCCUGCAGCUCUGUGUACUGCUCUAUGAAUCUACUGUGGCCAAGCAUAGCUCUAGUGAGUGCGUCAUUCAACUCUUCAGUGGCUAACUUCUCUUGGUUCAGCUCAAUCUCAAGAUUCUCAGCGCGACUACGAUGGCAAUCGAUAUCCAUUCUGAGAUCAUCUGUUAAGGAUAUCCACUCGCUCUCCAUUUCUGUCCACAUCUCCCUUUCUUUCGCUAGAACAUCACUGUUCUCACCAAUCUUGGUAACAUCAAUGCUUUUGCGCAUUUGAAUGGACCGUAGUAGCAACGAGGAUCUCAGAUUGUCUGUAGAGUUAGUAGGUUGUAGCUUGCUCUUUAGGUCUGCAAUUUCUUUGAGAAGAGAUUCCUUUUCGCUUACAUCAAAGUUUGUUUUUCGAAACUCUUGGCUAACUUGUUUUUUCUCAUAUGUUUCUUUGAUGACCUCGAUUCCAUCUUCCCCAUCACCAGAUUUCCUAAGCUGUUAAAAAGCCAGAACAUAGUUUAUUCAGUUUAGAUUUCCAUUUUUGUCAAAAGUUAUCAAUGACAAUCAACUGGUAGCUUCACAGGAUCCUCCAUAGCUUUGUUGUAUAUUGGUCCUGAAUAUUUUCAUAGGUUUACAAGGUUCUUACCAAGCGAGUUAGCUCCUCAAUUUUAGCUGCUUGCUCUAUACACAUGUUCUUGAGAUGUUUUUCAUUCGAACCAGCUUCUCUUACCUUAUAUAGGAGAGAAUAUAAAAUAAGUUGCCAAGUAUAUUUACCAAAUACUAAUGUUAUAGUGAAUGUGGGAAAAAAUCUCAGGUUUUGUAAACUUACUUCAGCUUCUUGUUCAACUUUCUGUUUACAUGAAAGACAUAGGGGAAUCGACGAUAAUCCACCUUCUGGAGCUUUGUCUUUUCUAAAAGAUUGGACUGAAGCAUUAAGAUUGUCAGCUUCUGCGCAGGGUUUCAAUGCCAUAUGGCCAAAAGAGAAGGAAACAGAAGAACUUUUUGAUAGUGAGCUCCCUUGAUGAUAGUCUAUAAUUUGCAGUCCUCUCUGAAGACUAGCAGCUAGAGAAUCUGUAGGACCUGAAAGUUUAUUUGACAUAGAAGGGCUAACUUGAUUGACUUUCAUGUUACCAAUGGUGGAACUGUCAGACACAUUCCGAGGACUUGCUGAAAACUUGGUCGAUGCAGCCACGCUUUUCUGGACAUUCUUAAACUUAGGUGAUUCUGAGAAAAUCGGCUCUUCUAGAAUACAUGUAGGAAGCUGUGAUCUGAUUGCAAUGCCACUACCGGCUGCACAGAAUCCAACAUUGUCGAGCUCGCUUGGAGCAUCAUCUACAAAGUCAGCAUCUUUAUGGUUUCCAUGCUUGGGAUUCUCCAGUUCUUCUGAACAGACAUCAUCAUCCUCCUCACUCAUCGACUCUGCCUCAUAGCAUGAAGCACUUGCAAAUGAGGAGUGGACAGAAUCAAAAGAACCAUGAAACUUGUCAAUAUGUUGAUUCAACUCCAGCACAUCAUCACCAUCCACAUUCAUCUCUUGCCCCUCAGAUUCAUCUUUUCUUGGGCAAGACAUGAGUAAAGAUUUGUUGAUACUAACUCUCAAUUGACUCAAGCUGUCCCUUGCAAAGUGUCCAUUCUUACUUGCAUGAGGUUUGUACCCAUCAGACUUUGUUCUUAUAAGCUCUUCCUGUAACCAAAAUUACAAAAUGUUGAUACCUCAAUGUCAGUAUAUACAAACAAACUCACAUCAGAUAUGUAGAUACUUGUAGCUAUGUGACAGUAACAAAAGCAAAAACCUUCAGCUCUCGAAUCUGGUCACCCAAGGGGUCGUCAUCUUCCUCUGUAAUUUCUCUAGGCAUUGAAUUGGUUCUUCUAGAAAGUACACUUGUGGCUACAACCUUCACUGGUGAAUUCACAAGACAUUGCUUGUCUUCGGCAAAACCGCUUUGUCCCAUUUUAUUGUCCUGUUUAAAGUUUCCAAAGGGUCUCUCAGUAAUUAGUUGAUAUCUAAUCUAACACUAGCACAGAUGACAUCAAACAUGGUUGAGCGACUACAAAGCAACCAAAAAAAAAACAUGAAAUCGAAAGGCGUGAAACCAAAAUGAAGUAACUUAGAAAGUUUUAAGCUUUUCACGAAGUACCUCAAUAAGCUCUCCGAGAUUUGCUAGGGUCUGCUUCGUGAACUGAUCAUCAGCCUGUUUGUUUGGAUGUACAGGAAUCACGUUCUCGUCGUUGGAUCUGGGGAUCUUAAUUUCUGGGUUUUGGAUUGGUUUCUGCUUUGCUGAGAUGGAUUUUGGAAGCAAGUUUCGGAUGG